RNAcentral lists this ribosomal RNA (503 nucleotides) under uncultured bacterium. RNAcentral's name for it is "partial 16S ribosomal RNA". It matches the Rfam family "Bacterial small subunit ribosomal RNA", at positions 899 to 1397 of the family's 1533-position model. The record is from RNAcentral.
ACUCAAAUGAAUUGACGGGGGCCCGCACAAGCGGUGGAGCAUGUUGUUUAAUACGUCACUAACCGUAGAACCUUACCAGGGCUUGACAUCCGGCGACAACCCAUGAAAGUGGGCCUUCCCCGCAAGGGGACGCCGAGACAGGUGUUGCAUGGCUGUCGUCAGCUCGUGUCGUGAGAUGUUGGGUUAAGUCCCGCAACGAGCGCAACCCCCAUCCCAUGUUGCCAGCGGAUCAAGCCGGGGACUCUUGGGGAACUGCCCGGGUAACCGGGAGGAAGGGGGGGACGACGUCAAGUCAGCAUGGCCCUUACGCCCUGGGCUACAAACAUGCUACAAUGGGCGGCAGACAGAGGGAUCCGAGGUCGCGAGACGGAGGCAACCCCAGAAAUCCGCCCCCAGUUCAGAUCGCAGGCUGCAACUCGCCUGCGUGAAGUCGGAAUCGCUAGUAACCGCCGGUCAGAUAAACGGCGGUGAAUACGUUCCCGGGCCUUGUACACACCGCCCGU